Molecule: ribosomal RNA, 450 nt
Filed under: uncultured Glomeromycotina
Lineage: Eukaryota; Fungi; Glomeromycota
Description: SSU rRNA
Rfam family: Eukaryotic small subunit ribosomal RNA
Source: RNAcentral
AGCAGCCGCGGUAAUUCCAGCUCCAAUAGCGUAUAUUAAAGUUGUUGCAGUUAAGAAGCUCGUAGUUGAAUUUCGGGAUUGACACAUCGGUCGUGCCUUAAGGGGUAUGAACUGGUAUAGUCAAUUUCUCACCUUCUGGAGAACCGCGAUGCCCUUAAUUGGGUGUCACGGGGAACCAGGACCUUUACUUUGAAAAAAUUAGAGUGUUUAAAGCAGGCAUUUUGCUUGAAUACAUUAGCAUGGAAUAAUAAAAUAGGACGGCAUGAUUCUAUUUUGUUGGUUUCUAGGAUCACCGUAAUGAUUAAUAGGGAUAGUUGGGGGCAUUAGUAUUCAAUUGUCAGAGGUGAGAUUCUUGGAUUUAUUGAAGACUAACUACUGCGAAAGCACUUGCCAAGGAUGUUUUCAUUAAUCAAGAACGAAAGUUAGGGGAUCGAAGACGAUCCGAUACCG